This 1219-nucleotide small RNA is filed under the name Rattus norvegicus (Norway rat). RNAcentral describes it as "uncharacterized LOC108351471". Lineage: Eukaryota; Metazoa; Chordata; Mammalia; Rodentia; Muridae. The record is from RNAcentral.
AUCCUGGAAAAAUUAGUUAAUUCAUUAUUUUAUUUCCAUUUUUCACAUUAAAAUGUUGGGAAUGCAAGAUUAAGAACCUGGGAAAGCAGCAAAAGGAAGGGAUCCCGUAAGCCUCUGGUGAAGCUGCCACUUAUGGGCCACUCAUAAGACUCAGAACCGAUAGAGUCUGGUCAGGGUCACUUGGGCCACCUGAGAGUCUAUCAUCUCUCGCUUAUGACAGAGGCUAAUGUCUUUAAUACCUUUAACGCCUGUUACGGCAGAAAAUCCUCGCCAGACUCAAGGAACAGAAAACUUUAACGUAUGGAAUGACUUCCACAAAUAUUUACUGAGAACCAGCACCCUCUGAAGCAGUGGGAUUCUAACAAGAUGGAUGGAUCUCAGCCUCCCUAGAGCUUAUUGUCCAGUGGAAAUAAAGACAAUGGACAAGCAAACAAAGAGCCCAUGAAGAGAAUAAGACAGAGUAAUGCGAUUGAGAAUGUGGGGCACCGGAAGUGGAGGGCACUGGAGCGGAUGUUGAAGCGGUGAGGAAGUUAGCGUCCCGGAUAUUGGAAACACACGCCAGGAGGGGUGAGUGAAGUAACAGCAGGGACUGUGGUAGCUGUAUCCUGGGGAGUGAGGAGGAAAGGGAGCGGAGGCAGCAAGGACUGGCUGCUGCGAAGAUGAUGUAAGGACCCGGCGAGGAGGUCAAAUGCUAUUCUAAUAGAAACUGGGAACACAACUCCGUGGACAAGAAUGAAGAGCUUCCGCGCUACUUCAGCCUGUUGGAGAUUGCGGAUGUAAGCUGCCACAGCCAAGAGUUGUCUUGAGAAAUUACCGGAACAGGAAGAGAGAAGUUCUGCGUUGCGAUCAGACGUGGUUGCUUUCUGGUGCGUGUUGGACGUGAGCACAUUGACCCCAGGUGUGGCCUCAACAUGGAGUCCUGGCUAGCCUCUCAGCUUCAAACCCCAUUGGUUACCACCGUGACGCUGCUGCUCUUCUGAAGGACUUGUGAGUCAGUGACCUUAUGACCUCUAACCCCAGCGAAGUGCCUGGAAAGCAUCAGUCCUUCCUACCAAUUCGUGAAGGGGAGUUUCUAGAAGGACCACAGGCUUCAGUGUUCCAUAUGUAGCAAGAGUAUUACUUCUUGAACUUUAAUUGGCAAGUGUAUUCUUGUAGAGCAUCUUGUGGUACAGGUGUCCAUCUGUGGGUGAAUAGAUUUAGAAAAUAUGGUACAUACACA